ACUCAAAGGAAUUGACGGGGACUUGCACAAGCAGUGGAUUAUGUGGUUUAAUUCGAUGGUAAACGAAGAACCUUACCAGGGUUAGAAAUCCUAUUGAAAGGUCUAGGAAACUAGAUCCCUCGCAAGACAGUAGGACAGGUGAUGCAUGGCCGUCGUCAGUUCGUGGUUUGAAUUGUCCCCUUAAGUGGGUUAACGAACGCAACCCUCGUUGUCUGUUACAAGUGUCAGACGAGACCGCCCCCGCUUUUGCGCAGAAAGAAAUUUGUGCGCUGAAGCGGGGGAGGAAGGAGAGGAUGACGCCAGGUCAGCAUGUCCCUUUGAUAUCCUGGGCUACACACAUAAUACAAUGACCGUUACAACGCGAUGCGACGAGGCGACUCUGAGCUAAUCGUCCAAAAACGGCCUCAGUUCGGAUUGGAGUCUGCAACUCGACUCCAUGAAGCUGGAAUUGCUAGUAAUCACAGGUCAGCUAAACUGUGGUGAAUACGUUCUCAAGUCUUGUACACACCGCCCGU
This 515-nucleotide ribosomal RNA is filed under the name uncultured bacterium. Its description in RNAcentral is "partial 16S ribosomal RNA". It matches the Rfam family "Bacterial small subunit ribosomal RNA", at positions 899 to 1397 of the family's 1533-position model. The record is from RNAcentral.